UAGGGAAUCUUCCGCAAUGGGCGAAAGCCUGCCGGAGCAACGCCGCGUGAGUGAUGAAGGUCUUCGGAUCGUAAAACUCUGUUAUUAGGGAAGAACAAAUGUGUAAGUAACUAUGCACGUCUUGACGGUACCUAAUCAGAAAGCCACGGCUAACUACGUGCCAGCAGCCGCGGUAAUACGUAGGUGGCAAGCGUUAUCCGGAAUUAUUGGGCGUAAAGCGCGCGUAGGCGGUUUUUUAAGUCUGAUGUGAAAGCCCACGGCUCAACCGUGGAGGAUCAUUGGAAACUGGAAAACUGGGGUGCAGAAGAGGAGGGUGGAAUUCCAUGUGGAGCGGUGAAAUGCGCAGAGAUAUGGAGGAACACCAGUGGCGAAGGCGACUUUCUGGUCUGUAACUGACGCUUAUGUGCGAAAGCGAGGGGAUCAAACAGG
RNAcentral lists this ribosomal RNA (429 nucleotides) under Actinomycetes bacterium. Its description in RNAcentral is "Actinobacteria bacterium partial 16S ribosomal RNA". It matches the Rfam family "Bacterial small subunit ribosomal RNA", at positions 355 to 776 of the family's 1533-position model. The record is from RNAcentral. Lineage: Bacteria; Bacillati; Actinomycetota; Actinomycetes.